RNAcentral lists this non-coding RNA (203 nucleotides) under Vibrio cholerae. RNAcentral also lists the same sequence under 1 other name. The record is from RNAcentral. Lineage: Bacteria; Pseudomonadati; Pseudomonadota; Gammaproteobacteria; Vibrionales; Vibrionaceae.
UACUAUCAGCGCCAAGCUGGUGCUAUUUAGAUGCCUGGAUGGCUAAAAAUGGCUGAAAAGGGAAUCCGGUGUAACUCCGGAACUGACGCGCAGCGGUAAGAGAGAACGAACGCUCAAACGACACUGCUUUUCGAGUGGGAAGUCGAGCCAGUAGGCCAACAGUGCUCUCAAGUCCGAAGACCUGCCAGCAACUGAGUUAUGCA